CAAUAUUUAUUUAUUUAAACAUUUGAUUUUGUUGCGUAUUUUUUAGUAACUCAUAGUCAGUCUUGGUGGUGGAUUUGGCAUCUAGUCAGCAUCUACCAUCAGAGUAUGUCACGUUUCGAGUCCAUAGGGGUGAUUCGGAACGAGUCGUGUUUUAUUUUUAAUAUGAUGUGGUGAUUUUAAGUAUGUGGGCUGAAAAAUAUAUGUAAACCCUAAUUAGAGUUUAAGUCGUAAUGGGACAGUUUGAUAAUUUC
RNAcentral lists this long non-coding RNA (251 nucleotides) under Olea europaea (common olive). Its description in RNAcentral is "long non-coding RNA (OEUR_LNC014322)". The record is from RNAcentral. Lineage: Eukaryota; Viridiplantae; Streptophyta; Magnoliopsida; Lamiales; Oleaceae.